Diceros bicornis minor is the source of this 1870-nucleotide long non-coding RNA. RefSeq lists it as uncharacterized. NCBI's taxonomy places the organism in Eukaryota, Metazoa, Chordata, Mammalia, Perissodactyla, Rhinocerotidae. The record is from RefSeq and is a predicted model, not a curated record. The transcript is spliced from 2 exons.
GGGGCAGCUGCUAUCUUUGAGACAGAAAGAUGCAGGACAGCAUUUCAUAUGUAACCAUGGGAAUGUUUUUGCUGUUUUUAGAAUGCAGAACCCAGGUUGGGGGGUGCCUGGGAGGUGGGGUAAGAAGAGCUUCCGUUUGUCCCAUAGAUUGCACAGUAGGGGCGGUUGUGCCAGGGGCAGCUGCUGACGAGUUUGCGACAACCAGCCCAUCUGGUGCCUGGGUGCUCACUCAAGAGGGGCUGUCAUCUGGGAUCCCAGGCCCCUGGGUCCCUCGUCCCUGGCCAGUCCCCUCUGACUGAGGCCUCCCCUCUGCCCUUCGCCAGGGCCCAUUCUUAACCCUACCCAUGGAUCAUUUCAAGAACCCUCUGUUUACUGUGCAGCACCCAGGCAAAACAUGCUCCACGAAUCCAACUUGUAUAUUUGGCAGAUUAAACUUGACAUUAUCAUAAUCCUUGUUCGUGAGCCGUUGGUGGGCCCCGUGCUGGGCUGUUUUCACCCAGAAGGGCACAGUGUCACUCUCAGGCAGGCCUGUCCUGCAAGGUUCAGGUGGCACCAAGCAUAGGAAUGGGGUACAGGGACUGGACCCUGGGCAUCUCAGCUGGGAGAGACCCCCUCUGCUCCUUAACCAAGUAGGGACCUUAGGCCAGAGUGGCCAGGGACCCGUCCAAGAUCCACAGCAGGCCAGCCAGGAGCAGCAGCUCGCCUUCCUGUCCUGUCCUUAGGUGCCCUGUGGUGGUAACAGCCUCAGGAUUUCAGCGCUGAGAGGAAGUGUCCUGAUACUAAGCAUGACUGCCAGGCAUUACCUCCUUCAAUCCUUUCCACCCUGUAUGGUGGAGAUGGCAGUGGGGAAACUGAGGCUUAGCACAAUCACAUGGGCUGCCUGCAGACUCAAGCACAGUGAAGGGUAACCACAGCUCCUAUCCUGCCCCUGCACCCCGCCAUGAGGCGCACUCCACCUCAUGAACAGCAUCCUUUGCACACAGUCCUGAGAGGUCAGGGACUGGGUGCCAAGCAGGGAGUUUGGCCCGAGGCCAGGGACUUAGUGGCAGAGAUGAAGUCAAGCCCCUGACUCCCAGUGACCGCUACCACACCCCCUGGGCUUGACCAUGUUGGAGGUCGACAGCCCCAGGAGGGAGUGAUAGCACAGCUGCCAGCAUCUGCAGCUCACCCUGGCCUGCCGAAUACCCCUCUGACCCUGGCUCUGAGGAGCAGGCAUUACCUCAAAGGUUUUGCCAAACCUGGAGAAGGUCAUGCAGCUGCUGCUGCCCAGGUUCAGGUCUGCACCAUGGAAAUGAGGUUCUGUGAUAAGAUGGAGGAAAGUGCAUGAAGGUGGUGGCUGUUGGUAAGGUUCACUGACAAAGCACCCUGUUGUUGGGUCCAGGGGCCGCCAGCCAGCAGAACUGGGGCCACGUGGGGCGGUAAUGAGGUGUCUUGUAACAUGCUGGAAGUAGGAGGUCCACGUGAAGGGCUGCCGUGAAGAGGCUGUGUUUGGCACCGGCCAGCAAGGCUUCCUCUGUGCCCAGAACAGUCCUGGUCUUGUUUGACCUUGGGGCGAGGACAGAGGCAAGGACUUCCUUGGUGUCUGCAGGCCUCCGAGUGUGGUUCUGCAGAUCUCACUGCCUACCUGGGUGGUGUGCCAACAAGAGUUGCUCAAAGUGUUUCCCUCCUGGCUCAGCUGGAGACCCGGGCUCACUGAGUGUGUUUCGGCAGAUGUCCCUCCAGUGGAGCUUGGUUGUCCGACCCGAGUUUGGAUCCUGGCUUUGCCACUUUCUGCCUGUGAGACUGGGCGAGCAUGUCUACAAUUGCAUUUUUAUUACCUCCAUAUUUUGAAGCAGUUCAUGACCAGUAGAGUGCUUUGGGGACAUUUUUU